RNAcentral lists this ribosomal RNA (487 nucleotides) under uncultured bacterium. RNAcentral describes it as "bacterial SSU rRNA". It matches the Rfam family "Bacterial small subunit ribosomal RNA", at positions 501 to 987 of the family's 1533-position model. The record is from RNAcentral.
CUACGUGCCAGCAGCCGCGGUAAUACGUAGGUCCCGAGCGUUGUCCGGAUUUAUUGGGCGUAAAGCGAGCGCAGGCGGUUAGAUAAGUCUGAAGUUAAAGGCUGUGGCUUAACCAUAGUACGCUUUGGAAACUGUUUAACUUGAGUGCAAGAGGGGAGAGUGGAAUUCCAUGUGUAGCGGUGAAAUGCGUAGAUAUAUGGAGGAACACCGGUGGCGAAAGCGGCUCUCUGGCUUGUAACUGACGCUGAGGCUCGAAAGCGUGGGGAGCAAACAGGAUUAGAUACCCUGGUAGUCCACGCCGUAAACGAUGAGUGCUAGGUGUUAGACCCUUUCCGGGGUUUAGUGCCGCAGCUAACGCAUUAAGCACUCCGCCUGGGGAGUACGACCGCAAGGUUGAAACUCAAAGGAAUUGACGGGGGCCCGCACAAGCGGUGGAGCAUGUGGUUUAAUUCGACGCAACGCGAAGAACCUUACCAGGUCUUGACAU